AAAAACAUCAGAUUAGGAGGUUAAGAUAACAACAAUAGGAUAUGAUAGAAAGUCAAAGAGAAAGGGAAAUUCAUCAAGUUUGUAACAAGUUUUAGUAUACUUCCAUUCUUUGAGGAACAGGUGUUUUGAUGACCUGCAAGAUUUGAACCACUUCAGCCAUUGAAGGCCUACUUGAUGGUAUUUGAGAAGUGCACACCAAUGCCAACUUCAGAACAGGCAAAACUUCCUCUUCAGGAUAAGUAUUCAUAGUUGGAUCAACACACUCCAACACAUUGCCUUGCUCAAGCAAAACUCUCACAUGAUCAUUGAGUAUCAACACAUUGUCCUCUCCAUACUCAACUGGCCUUCUCCCAGUGACAAUUUCAAGAAUCAACAUCCCAAAACCAUAAACGUCACACUUCUCAUUCACCCUUAAGCUCUGGCAUGCCAAUUCAGGGGCUACAUAGCCUAGUGCACUCUGGAACCUGCUGCUUAUCAUGUGCUUAUCGAGCUUUGUCACUAGCCUUGCCAGCCCGAAAUCAGAUAUUCUCGGGUUGAAGUUCUCAUCAAGGAGAAUGUUGCUAGGCUUUAUGUUGUAGUGUAUGAUUGCUGGCCUAAACGCGUGGUGCAAAUGUGCUAGUCCCUUGGCUGUUCCAAGCACAAUGUUGAAUCGAGUGGACCAAGACAGGGGAAGGGAAGUUGAAGACGAAGGCCUUUCGUGCAGUAUGGCUUGUAAACUUCCUUCUGGUGCAUAAUCUGAUACUAGAAGCUGAAGUUGAGGAGUCCAGUAAUACCCUUUUAAGGAUAUUAGAUUUGGAUGCCUUGCUUUUGCUAAAACUCUAACUUCUCUAUCGAAGUCCUCAGGAUAUUGGAGGAUUUUUGAUGUUACAAGCUUCUUGACAGCUACUAUUCUUCCUUCCCCUCCCAAUGGGGCUUUGUAAACAGUCCCAAAGACACCUUCACCGAUUUGAGAUGCCUUGUCUAGGAUUGAUUCAAGACUGCUAUUAGUCCAAUCCGGGGAAGAUUUGGUGUCCAAUAACACAAGUUUUCCAGUGGCUAGGGUCCCUGAUUUAGAAGAACUUGAGCACAUACUCUCCAAGGCGUUGUCAACGAACGUGAUCCUCCUUCGAACAGAAGCAUUGAGUAAGGUUAUUAUCAUUACUCCAACCGCGAUCACAGCUGCAGCAGAGAUUGCAACAAUGGAUGAAACACUGAGGAAUCUAUGGUUCUUGAAACUUUUGUUAUUGCUUCUUGAAGCUCCAUCAUCCCCGUUUUGACCUCCCCGGCUCUGGUUUCCAUAAGCAUAAGGAUCAAGAACCAAAGGCUUUGGCACAUUCAUCUUACAAGGACCUUUCAACAAGGGUGAACAAAUGCCCAAAUUCCCUUCCAAUGAACUCUGGUCUAAAUUCUGGAAUAUACUACUCAUUGGAAGGCGUCCCACGAGCCUGUUGUAGGAUAUAUUAACAGCCAGAAGAUUUUCUAACUUGCCAAGUUCUUGUGGUAUUUCACCACUCAAUUGGUUAUACUCUAGCUUCAAAAUCUUGAGCUUCUUCAACAUUGAAAGGGACCUUGGUAUUGAGCCACUUAAAUUAUUAUGUGACAAACUCAACAAGUAGAGGGAUGAACAAUUUCCAAUCUCAUCAGGAAUAGGUCCAGUGAAUGAAUUUCCAUCAAGCUGAAGAAUUCCCAAGCUACCAGAAUCACAUAUAUCACCAGGAAUUGAUCCAACUAAAGCACUGUGUCGAAGAUCCAACACCGUUAGAUUCUGAAAGUAUCCAACCUCAGGAGGCAAUCUUGAUUGAAAAUUGUUCCAAGAAAGAUUCAAGUAUCUCAGCUUGGAGAAGAGUCCCACUUCAGCUGGGAUAUUCCCAGUAAGAUUGUUUCCUGAUAGAUCAAGAACUUGAAGUGAUUCAAAGAAUUUACCAGAACCAGGAGGGAUUGAACCAGUUAACUCAUUUCUUGAGAAAUCUGCUUCUUCCAAUCCUAUACCAAACAAUCCUUCAGGAAUGCUACCA
This 1994-nucleotide unclassified non-coding RNA is filed under the name Hevea brasiliensis (rubber tree). The record is from RNAcentral. Lineage: Eukaryota; Viridiplantae; Streptophyta; Magnoliopsida; Malpighiales; Euphorbiaceae.